GAUGAACGCUGGCGGCGUGCUUAACACAUGCAAGUCGAACGAAGCACCUUAUUCUGAUUUCUUCGGAAUGAAAAAUUUGGUGACUGAGUGGCGGACGGGUGAGUAACGCGUGGGUAACCUGCCUCAUACAGGGGGAUAACAGUUAGAAAUGACUGCUAAUACCGCAUAAGACCACAGCACCGCAUGGUGCAGGGGUAAAAACUCCGGUGGUAUGAGAUGGACCCGCGUCUGAUUAGGUAGUUGGUGGGGUAACGGCCUACCAAGCCGACGAUCAGUAGCCGACCUGAGAGGGUGACCGGCCACAUUGGGACUGAGACACGGCCCAAACUCCUACGGGAGGCAGCAGUGGGGAAUAUUGCACAAUGGGGGAAACCCUGAUGCAGCGACGCCGCGUGAGCGAAGAAGUAUUUCGGUAUGUAAAGCUCUAUCAGCAGGGAAGAAGAAAUGACGGUACCUGACUAAGAAGCACCGGCUAAAUACAUGCCAGCCGCCGCCGUAA
RNAcentral lists this ribosomal RNA (499 nucleotides) under uncultured bacterium. RNAcentral's name for it is "partial 16S ribosomal RNA". It matches the Rfam family "Bacterial small subunit ribosomal RNA", at positions 28 to 523 of the family's 1533-position model. The record is from RNAcentral.